RNAcentral lists this ribosomal RNA (322 nucleotides) under uncultured eukaryote. Its description in RNAcentral is "partial 18S ribosomal RNA". It matches the Rfam family "Eukaryotic small subunit ribosomal RNA", at positions 1470 to 1796 of the family's 1831-position model. The record is from RNAcentral.
CCCUUAGAUGUUCUUGGCCGCACGCGUGCUACACUGAGUGGAUCAGCGGGUCAGGUUGCGCGAAAGUGUUUCCUAAUCUUUAAAUCCGCUCGUGAUGGGGAUUGACGGUUGCAAUUUUCCGUCAUGAACGAGGAAUACCUUGUAAGCGCGGGUCAUCAUCCCGCGCUGAAUACGUCCCUGCCCUUUGUACACACCGCCCGUCGCUCCUACCGAUUGAGUGGUCCGGUGAGGCUUUGGGAUCUGGGCGGAAAGAGCGUUUCGCUGUUUCUGCCCGGAAAACUCAGUCGAACCUUAUCAUUUAGAGGAAGGAGAAGUCGUAACA